RNAcentral lists this ribosomal RNA (301 nucleotides) under uncultured bacterium. RNAcentral describes it as "partial 16S ribosomal RNA". It matches the Rfam family "Bacterial small subunit ribosomal RNA", at positions 509 to 807 of the family's 1533-position model. The record is from RNAcentral.
CAGCAGCCGCGGUAGUACGAAGGGUGCAAGCGUUACUCGGAAUUACUGGGCGUAAAGCGUGCGUAGGUGGUGGUUUAAGUCCGUUGUGAAAGCCCUGGGCUCAACCUGGGAAUUGCAGUGGAUACUGGGUCACUAGAGUGUGGUAGAGGAUAGUGGAAUUUCCGGUGUAGCAGUGAAAUGCGUAGAGAUCGGAAGGAACAUCUGUGGCGAAGGCGACUAUCUGGGCCAACACUGACACUGAGGCACGAAAGCGUGGGGAGCAAACAGGAUUAGAUACCCCCGUAGUCCCUGUCUCUUAUAC